AACUGGGUUUAUGUGCGUCCCCCUCACCCCCUCCUCUCUUUUUCUUUCUCUCUGUCUCUGUCGUCUCUCUCGCUGGCUUUUUAAAAAUGAGGAACCGCUCCUUGAAUGUUCUGGACAGAGCACAGAAUUGCUUCUUAAGUCAGCCCGGCGCGGUUGCAAUAGACAGCAAAAAGGUAAACGUUUGCCUGAAAUCCGCACGCCAGCUCCACCGCCCCGCCCGAUGGUCCCAGUUCCUCUGGGAAUCGUCCUGUAUGCAACAUCUUCACAAGAGUGGCAGGCAGUUGAAUCUCUGGCCUUCGUGGGACCACUGGACAUCUGGCAGAGAACCAGGAAACCACGGUUCCCUUCUGUGAGUCCCUCAGCCGGAAAACUACAAGAAUGAAAAAAAUGCAUGGCAUACAUCACCAAGAAUCAAAGGUUGUGCCUGGCAGUGUAAUUGACUAUGUAAUAAAGAGAGAAGCUUUGCUAGGUGAGUGGACAGCAUAAUGAGAGGCUUUGUUCACAUCUGCAGAAAUGCAUUUUCGUUAAACACCUGUGUUAAGCACAAGCACAUAAGGCACAGUGAUAGAUGGAUGUAAAACAUGGGUAGAUGAUGUCCUUGUAUGAGAUUCUACAAAGACUCCGAUGUGUUGAGGUUUGGAAGCAUUCAGGCAGCCUCCUGGCACUAUUGGCUAUGCUGCUAAUGAGAUUACAGGCAGGGCAUGAUUUCAUUCCAUGUAAUAUUUUUGUCAUUAGGAAGAGGCAAGUUAUUUUUACCUGUCAAUUUCUGUUUUUUGAAAUUGAAAAAUUCUCAGGUACGAAUCCCAAAAGACUUUACAUGCAACCUCCAUGUCCUAUUCAGGACUGUUCAAGGAGAAGACAGAAACACCAUGUUUAGAGGUCAUUGGUCCAUCUACUCUAGAAACUUCCCCUUGGCAGUGGUCCCUGCCUAUGUUACAGAAGACGGCAAAAAUACGAGCCAUCGUGCAUCUGGCCAGUUCUGCAAUGCUCUAUCCCAGGGGGAAAUUCCUUCCUCACUCCAGCUGGUGAACAGCUAUGCCCUGGAGCCCAGGACGGACAUGCCUUGUAACUUUUUAACUUAGUUAGUGUAACUACCAAUAUUA
This 1103-nucleotide long non-coding RNA is filed under the name Homo sapiens (human). Its description in RNAcentral is "non-protein coding NR2F2-AS1:41". Lineage: Eukaryota; Metazoa; Chordata; Mammalia; Primates; Hominidae. The record is from RNAcentral.